UAGCUAUUUACAUGACUUAGUUAAGAUGC
Molecule: non-coding RNA, 29 nt
Filed under: Rattus norvegicus (Norway rat)
Lineage: Eukaryota; Metazoa; Chordata; Mammalia; Rodentia; Muridae
Source: RNAcentral